AAUUUUUUAAUAGUGGGCUGGAGGCUGGAUGCAUAAUUUAGUGCUGAGUCUGGGCUUGCGUAUGGUAUGCAGAGGCAGGUGCGGGGGAAUCCAUGUGGCAGGCCAGAUAAUGAGCUCGGGCGAUGACGCAGUUAUCAGGUCUGGAGAGUGAUGAAUGUGUCUGUUUGACUCCUCUCAAGGCAAUUGGCCUUAUGCUACUGUGUACUGACUAUGGGUGUGGGAAAAGGGAAGGGUUGCUUACUAAAGGCACAACAAUCAUUGAGGAUAUAGGAUGAAGUCUCCCACGAAAAAGAAAAUAACAACAGUAAAGCUCAGGAGAAAAAUCAAUACAGAAGUCUAAAAAAAAUUGCACUGGACCAGUUAAACAGUCAAGGAAGACUUCAACCAAGACUAUCAUAAGAAGAAAGAGGUUGAACUCAACUCCUUUGAAACAAAAGACAGAAGAGUUUUCCAGCUAAGGGAGAGCAGCCUGGGAAUUGAAUCUUCCUUUGCCAUGCUCCACCUGGAGUGCUAAGUCUAUACGAAGUAGGUAACAUCUUGAAGACACUUAAUGAACUGUGGUUUGAUGAUUCCUCUUUCAUUCUUGUUUCCCUUUUAUAAUCUUAACUUUCAGUUAAGUUCCUGUUCUUAAAAUUUCCAUUCUCAGAGAACAUUCACACUUCAUGAAAAUAGCCAUGCUUUCUAAGGGCUAAUUGAAGCUCUACAGCUUGUAUUACAUCUUUUUAGCAAAAUGAUAAAAUUAUUUUAUUUUAGAAAGAAGCUAUGGAGAAUUUCAGAUAGUGAUUUUCCUGUUAAAAAAUACAUAUACCCAUUAAAAAUACAUUUCUUCAUAUAUGUGCAAAUAUUUACUGCAAACCUGAUAAAAUAAGAAUUAUUGUUGUGGUAGAUAAAACUCUGUCAAAGAUAUGGGUGCACACCUGUAGUCCUAGUUAGGCAGAAGGCUGAGGCUGGAAGAUUGAUUGAACUCAGAAAUUGGAGGCUGCAGUGGGCUGUAAUCACACCUGUGAAAAGCCACUGCAUUCCAGCUUGGGCAACAUAGUAAGAUUUCGUCUCUAUUAAAAAAGGAAAAAAAAAAAGGUCGUAGGAAUCUACAAAAAUAACCAGUUGAUGACAUAGUUUUUACAAAAAUAAGUAAAAUAGAGAGCAGAAAUACCCAUGCAUUUCAAAAGGUAUAGAAAAAUAUUAUGAGAUUUCAGAAUAAAAGCCUCUAACAUAUUUGGAGCACUUACUAAAUGUAAGACAAUAUUGAAUUCUCAUUAACUACCAUAUUAAUAAGUAUGAUUUUUAUCCAAGUUUUAGUGACACAGAAACUGAGACUCAGAAAUAAGUAGUAGGUCAUGGAUUUUA
Long non-coding RNA from Callithrix jacchus (white-tufted-ear marmoset), 1347 nucleotides. RefSeq lists it as uncharacterized. The record is from RefSeq and is a predicted model, not a curated record. Lineage: Eukaryota; Metazoa; Chordata; Mammalia; Primates; Cebidae.